RNAcentral lists this ribosomal RNA (737 nucleotides) under Corynebacterium kroppenstedtii. RNAcentral's name for it is "bacterial SSU rRNA". It matches the Rfam family "Bacterial small subunit ribosomal RNA", at positions 51 to 797 of the family's 1533-position model. Lineage: Bacteria; Bacillati; Actinomycetota; Actinomycetes; Mycobacteriales; Corynebacteriaceae. The record is from RNAcentral.
ACACAUGCAAGUCGAACGGAAAGGCCCUGCUUGCAGGGUGCUCGAGUGGCGAACGGGUGAGUAACACGUGGGUGAUCUGCCCCUUACUUUGGGAUAAGCCUGGGAAACUGGGUCUAAUACUGGAUAGGACCAUGCUGUAGGUGGUGUGGUGGAAAGAUUAGUUUCGGUAAGGGAUGAGCUCGCGGCCUAUCAGCUUGUUGGUGGGGUAAUGGCCUACCAAGGCGUCGACGGGUAGCCGGCCUGAGAGGGUGGACGGCCACAUUGGGACUGAGAUACGGCCCAGACUCCUACGGGAGGCAGCAGUGGGGAAUAUUGCACAAUGGGCGCAAGCCUGAUGCAGCGACGCCGCGUGGGGGAUGACGGCCUUCGGGUUGUAAACUCCUUUCAGCCAUGACGAAGCCUUCGGGUGACGGUAGUGGUAGAAGAAGCACCGGCUAACUACGUGCCAGCAGCCGCGGUAAUACGUAGGGUGCGAGCGUUGUCCGGAAUUACUGGGCGUAAAGAGCUCGUAGGUGGUCUGUCGCGUCAUUUGUGAAAGCCCGGGGCUUAACUCCGGGUUGGCAGGUGAUACGGGCAUGACUGGAGUACUGUAGGGGAGACUGGAAUUCCUGGUGUAGCGGUGAAAUGCGCAGAUAUCAGGAGGAACACCGGUGGCGAAGGCGGGUCUCUGGGCAGUUAACUGACGCUGAGGAGCGAAAGCAUGGGUAGCGAACAGGAUUAGAUACCCURGUAGUCCA